UACGAACCGUCCAAACGUUAUUCGGAAUCACUGGGCUUAAAGGGUGCGUAGGCGGUCCGGUAAGUUGGGUGUGAAAUCCCACGGCUCAACCGUGGAAUAGCGCUCAAGACUGCCGGACUUGAGGGAGAUAGAGGUGAGCGGAACUUCGGGUGGAGCGGUGAAAUGCGUUGAUAUCCGAAGGAACACCGGUGGCGAAAGCGGCUCACUGGGUCUUUUCUGACGCUGAGGCACGAAAGCUAGGGGAGCGAACGGG
Molecule: ribosomal RNA, 253 nt
Filed under: uncultured bacterium
Lineage: Bacteria
Description: partial 16S ribosomal RNA
Rfam family: Bacterial small subunit ribosomal RNA
Source: RNAcentral